GCUUGAAUAGCUUAUAACAUAGAGCAUGGCACUGAAGAUGCCAGGGAGGCGAAUUUACGCCUUCGAGCA
This 69-nucleotide transfer RNA is filed under the name Tridentarius dentatus. Its description in RNAcentral is "tRNA-Phe". The record is from RNAcentral. Lineage: Eukaryota; Metazoa; Mollusca; Gastropoda; Littorinimorpha; Strombidae.